RNAcentral lists this unclassified non-coding RNA (89 nucleotides) under Pseudomonas kilonensis. The record is from RNAcentral. Lineage: Bacteria; Pseudomonadati; Pseudomonadota; Gammaproteobacteria; Pseudomonadales; Pseudomonadaceae.
UGUGGGAGCGAGCUUGCUCGCGAUGACUGUGGCAAAUUCGAUAUCCCUGUGACUGGACCACCGCUAUCGCGAGCAAGCUCGCUCCCACA